AUGGAGCGGAAUGGCUCUCUGUCUCUGCAAUCUAAGAGAAGCUCGAAAGUUUCUGAGGUUGCUGACGAAUCCACUGUUGUCGAGUGCCUUGGGCGCUGAUUGGGCGCUGAUGCUGUAGGUGGAAGUCAUCUGCUGUAGAAGCUCGGAUGGAAUUUUCUAUUGGAGAAGUCCGAUUUCAUGAGGAAUCUAGCAAAGGGUCGACCGACAGUGGACUUCGGAUGGCAUUGUGGAGGUUCGUCCGUUGGAGGAGUCUUGAAGACACUAUGGAAGGUCGAACGUUGGAGGAGUCCGGGAUAUGGUUCUACUGUAGAAGUUCGGAUGGAGUC
RNAcentral lists this long non-coding RNA (326 nucleotides) under Elaeis guineensis (African oil palm). RNAcentral describes it as "long non-coding RNA (EGUI_LNC069071)". Lineage: Eukaryota; Viridiplantae; Streptophyta; Magnoliopsida; Arecales; Arecaceae. The record is from RNAcentral.